UGAAAUCUACGACCUAUACCACUCGGAACCGUAACCAUAACCCGUUAAAAUGCUGUUUAUCAUUUACCGCUACACCUGCGAUCUAUUUAUCUUUUGUCUACUUAUAUUUAAAUCUAAUUUCGUCUCAUAAGAUUUAUACCUUCGCUGAUAAUGUAAAUGGAAUGAAAAUUAUUUCGAUUUAGCGAGCCCGAAAACUCAAACCAGCUGAAGAUGAAGGGGAAUUAAUGCACCUUGUUGAACUGAACGAAUUCUCUGAUCUUGGCAGAUAUGUUAUUUUGAAACCAUCUGUAAAGGCUAUUUAUGUUCUUUUACUUCAACACCAUCUUGGAAUUGGCGAUGAGGAAACAGUGUUUUGAAAGCCUCUCUGCUGUUACAAACGCCAUCUUAGGUAAUUUUAUAGACUUAGAAUUUUAAAAUUUGUAAUAAGACUUUACUUUUUCGUGAGUCACUAUCUUGCAAUAAAAUUAUCAGUUAUUCCUUAAAUUAACUACCCUGGUCCUUCCUGUUUUAUUUUGCUUAGUUUGUAUUCUGAACUCUAAUACAUUUACAGCAUUGUAUGUUUCAAAGUUCAAAAGUUAGCCGCUCUUAAGGUUUUGUAAUGUUUUUCAUGGCAUCUUUUCUCAACCAUGGCAUCUUCUUCUAGUUAUCAGGGUUUGUUGAUUUAAAUCAGCUUGAUUUAUUACAUGAUUUAAAUCAAAUGAUUUU
This is a non-coding RNA of Parasteatoda tepidariorum (common house spider), 705 nucleotides long. The record is from RefSeq and is a predicted model, not a curated record. Lineage: Eukaryota; Metazoa; Arthropoda; Arachnida; Araneae; Theridiidae.